RNAcentral lists this long non-coding RNA (1622 nucleotides) under Pan paniscus (pygmy chimpanzee). RNAcentral's name for it is "lncRNA (ENSPPAG00000044524.1)". Lineage: Eukaryota; Metazoa; Chordata; Mammalia; Primates; Hominidae. The record is from RNAcentral.
ACAGGAGAUAGCAGCUAAAUUUGUAUGCAAGAGUCAGGAUAAGAUGUAUGACACUCACAGUGAAAGCACAAAACAUCAAGCCAACAGUUCAGGACUAGUCAUUCAAAUGGACUAAAGUAGUAUGAUGCCUCUGGCUUCCCUCUAUCACACGUCUUCUUGUCGAAUAAAGGUUUUUCAUAAAUGUGAGCGUGGAAGAAGAAACCAGGUAUGUCCACAUAGCAAUGAGACAGAAAAAAUGGAAAGGAAGAACUCAACUUAUCCUUGUUUACAGAAGUUAAAUAUGGAACUUCACACCAGGACACAAAAGGUGGGUAAUUCUAUUUUUAUAGGCUUCUUAAUGACUAGAAUUUACAAUAAUAUUAUGGUAUAGCAAAACCAAUUUAUAUUUGGAUUAUAAUUUUACAUUUUAUGUUGAAUUCUCCAUCAAAAUUUAAAACGAAACAUUUAAGCAAACCUCUAACAAAUGUGCACUCAUGACAGUGUAGAAAAUGUAAAAGUCAAAAUAAAAGUAAAUAUGAAGAGAAGGGACAAUCUCUCUGAGGAUAAUUUUAUGAUAAUUUACAAAUAAUUUGCUAACACUAAUAUUAACUCAUACAUUAUUUGCUUAAAUCAUCUAAAUAGUGUAAAUUUCUAGAUAUGACAUAGUUAAAAACAGUUUUAAAUUGUCUUUUUUGAGGGGCAAAAAAGUUUAAAAAAUUGUGUUGAAUUUAUUUUUCAAUUGAAAAUUAAAAACUUUAUAUUUAUUAUGUAUAUGUUGUUUUGAAAUAUAUAUAUGGUGUGGAAUGAUUAAAUUUAGCUAAUUAGCAUAUGCAUCACCUCACAUAUUUAUCUUUGUUUUUGUGGUGAGGACACUUAAUAUUUACUCUCUUAGCAAUUUUCAAGAAUGCAUUAUUAUUAACUAUAGUCACUAUGUUUUACAUGAGAUGUCUCAUGUUUAUUGCUCAUAUCCCAUUGUAAUUUUGCAUUCUUUGCCAAAUAACUCACCAACCCAUCCCACACACUAGCCUCACAACUUUAUCCUUUCUUUCUAGGACUUCAAACUUUUAGAUUCCACAAGUAUGUGAAAAGACGCAGUAUUUGUCUUUCUGUGCAUGGUUUACUUCACUUAUCAUCAUGUACCUCAGGUUCGUCCACGUUGUUGCAAAUGACAGGAUUUCAUUCAUUUUUAAGACUGAAUAGUACUCCAUUAUGCAAAUAUACCAGAUUUUCAUUGUCUAUUUGUUCACUGAUGAACACGGGUUAAUCCUAUAUGUUGGCUAUUGUGAAUAAAGCUGCAAUGAAUAUGAGAGUACAGAUAUAUUCUUGACAUAUUAAUUUUAUUUUAUUUGGCAAUAUACCCAAUAGUAGCUAGAUCAUAUGAGAGUUCUAUUUUUAAUUUUUGAGGAACCUUCAUACUGUUUUUCAUAAUAGUUGUUACUAAUUUACACUCAGUAUGCAAGAGUUCCCUUUUCUCCACAUUCUUUCCAAAAUUUGUUUCCUUUUGUCUUUUUGAUAACAGCCACUCUAACUGGAGUGAAAUAAUAUCUCACUGUGGUUUUAAUUUUCAUUUCUCUGAUUAAUGAUUUUGAGCUUUUUAAAACAAAUACUUGUUGGCAAUUUGUAUGUCAUCUUUUGAGAAGUGU